GUCUCAGUAGCUCAGCUGGAUAGAGCAGCCGCCUCCUAAGCGGCAGGUCGGAGGUUCAAUUCCUCUCUGGGACA
This 74-nucleotide transfer RNA is filed under the name Osedax symbiont Rs1. It matches the Rfam family "tRNA". From Rfam's summary of the family: Transfer RNA (tRNA) molecules are approximately 80 nucleotides in length. Their secondary structure includes four short double-helical elements and three loops (D, anti-codon, and T loops). Further hydrogen bonds mediate the characteristic L-shaped molecular structure. tRNAs have two regions of fundamental functional importance: the anti-codon, which is responsible for specific mRNA codon recognition, and the 3' end, to which the tRNAs corresponding amino acid is attached (by aminoacyl-tRNA synthetases). tRNAs cope with the degeneracy of the genetic code in two manners: having more than one tRNA (with a specific anti-codon) for a particular amino acid; and 'wobble' base-pairing, i.e. permitting non-standard base-pairing at the 3rd anti-codon position. Lineage: Bacteria; Pseudomonadati; Pseudomonadota; Gammaproteobacteria; Oceanospirillales; Oceanospirillaceae. The record is from Rfam by way of RNAcentral.